This 1032-nucleotide ribosomal RNA is filed under the name uncultured Bacillus sp. RNAcentral describes it as "bacterial SSU rRNA". It matches the Rfam family "Bacterial small subunit ribosomal RNA", at positions 384 to 1404 of the family's 1533-position model. Lineage: Bacteria; Bacillati; Bacillota; Bacilli; Caryophanales; Bacillaceae. The record is from RNAcentral.
UGACGGAGCAACCCCGCGUGAGUGAUGAAGGUUUUCGGAUCGUAAAGCUCUGUUUUUAGGGAAGAACAAGUACCGUUCGAAUAGGGCGGUACCUUGACGGUACCUAACCAGAAAGCCACGGCUAACUACGUGCCAGCAGCCGCGGUAAUACGUAGGUGGCAAGCGUUGUCCGGAAUUAUUGGGCGUAAAGGGCUCGCAGGCGGUUUCUUAAGUCUGAUGUGAAAGCCCCCGGCUCAACCGGGGAGGGUCAUUGGAAACUGGGGAACUUGAGUGCAGAAGAGGAGAGUGGAAUUCCACGUGUAGCGGUGAAAUGCGUAGAGAUGUGGAGGAACACCAGUGGCGAAGGCGACUCUCUGGUCUGUAACUGACGCUGAGGAGCGAAAGCGUGGGGAGCGAACAGGAUUAGAUACCCUGGUAGUCCACGCCGUAAACGAUGAGUGCUAAGUGUUAGGGGGUUUCCGCCCCUUAGUGCUGCAGCUAACGCAUUAAGCACUCCGCCUGGGGAGUACAGUCGCAAGACUGAAACUCAAAGGAAUUGACGGGGGCCCGCACAAGCGGUGGAGCAUGUGUUUUAAUUCGAAGCAACGCGAAGAACCUUACCAGGUCUUGACAUCCUCUGACAAUCCUAGAGAUAGGACGUCCCCUUCGGGGGCAGAGUGACAGGUGGUGCAUGGUUGUCGUCAGCUCGUGUCGUGAGAUGUUGGGUUAAGUCCCGCAACGAGCGCACACCCUUGAUCUUAGUUGCCAGCAUUCAGUUGGGCACUCUAAGGUGACUGCCGGUGACAAACACGGAGGAAGGGGGGGAUGACGUCAAAUCAUCAUGCCCCUUAUGACCUGGGCUACACACGUGCUACAAUUGGACAGAACAAAGGGCAGCGAAACCGCGAGGUUAAGCCAAUCCCACAAAUCUGUUCUCAGUUCGGAUCGCAGUCUGCAACUCGACUGCGUGAAGCUGGAAUCGCUAGUAAUCGCGGAUCAGCAUGCCGCGGUGAAUACGUUCCCGGGCCUUGUACACACCGCCACGUCACACCA